RNAcentral lists this ribosomal RNA (256 nucleotides) under Bacillus subtilis. RNAcentral describes it as "partial 16S ribosomal RNA". It matches the Rfam family "Bacterial small subunit ribosomal RNA", at positions 54 to 297 of the family's 1533-position model. Lineage: Bacteria; Bacillati; Bacillota; Bacilli; Caryophanales; Bacillaceae. The record is from RNAcentral.
CUGUCAUGCAGUCGAGCGGACAGAUGGGAGCUUGCUCCCUGAUGUUAGCGGCGGACGGGUGAGUAACACGUGGGUAACCUGCCUGUAAGACUGGGAUAACUCCGGGAAACCGGGGCUAAUACCGGAUGGUUGUUUGAACCGCAUGGUUCAAACAUAAAAGGUGGCUUCGGCUACCACUUACAGAUGGACCCGCGGCGCAUUAGCUAGUUGGUGAGGUAACGGCUCACCAAGGCAACGAUGCGUAGCCGACCUGAGA